GCGUCUCUAGUACUACGCUCACCAGUACUGCCCCACCUUUCCUCCUUUGCUGUAGUCUUCUUCCUCUGUUGUAGCUUCCUCCUCUGCUGCAACUUCCUCCUCUACUGUAGCUUAUUCCUCUACUACAGCAUUGCUAUAACUUUUUCAAAAUUUCCCCAACUAUACGAGGAAAUCUCUCUACCGUUGAUUUACUCUGUUGAGGGAAAUCGAAAAUCCUCUCCUAAUCCCUAUAAAUAGGAGAGGGACAUGUAUUGAAGCUAAAGCUUCUUAUCUUCAAUAAAGCUUCUUAAAUAAUUCUUCUGGUCUUUUAUUCCUUCCGUUACAUAUUUCUCCUUAGGUCAGGUAAGAGAAUUUAGGAUCACAAUUUUCUUGAUGAAGUGUUGAAGAUAUACCUAUUUGAAAGGAAGGUUUUCUGCUCCAAGCUUUCUUCUUCUCCAUUGCUUUGACUGAUAAGAUAUCCAGAACCUGGCAAAGUGCUGCAGCCGUAUUCUGCUUUUCCUAUUACACGAGUCUGAAACUUCGCUCAUGACAGAGACAUCAACAUAAAUGAAAGAAUUUUCCAUGAUUAGAUGGCAUCUAACUAUGUGAAUCUAAAUAAUACAACAAAUAAGUCACCCUGGAGCUACAAGAGCUAUAAACAGUAACCAUGGGGAAUCUGUGACCCCAAACCUUCUUGCACAGAGAGUUUUUGCCAGUGUUUUCGAGCAUCCUUCACUGCAAGGAUUCCGGGUAACAACAAGCUUAAGAAAGAUCUGAUAAAGCAGCUACUUCUUCCUACAAUUUUUCUUCCUUCAUUUGAGAUCCAACAGUCUCCUCUUCCUCUUAAGAUUGAAGGAAAAUUUUGCUCCAUGGAGUAGUUGCCUUGGUGUUCUUGAGUGCUGGACUCUUAACUAGUAUGGAAGAGAACUACAGGGAUGAUGAGGCUUUCCGUUCUUGAGAGCUGCAGCCCUAGAUUAUCAAGGCCACCGAGUUAAGCCUCUCCAUGCGACUCCAAAUGGCCGGCGACGCCGCUCGCGGGCGCAUCAUGGACUCGCCAACACGUUGAAGCUCUGCAACCAGAUGAACGAGUCGCCUGCACGGCGCAAAAAUGAGGGUGAGGGGGAUGACCCAGAUGCCCAGUUCCAGUAUCAACAUCGCACCACAGCCUCCUUUCUUCUUCACCUGCAGCCUGCAAACAUGCUCUGUCAUGUAAAUAUUGCUUAUAAGAAUUCUAUGAACCCAACGAGAUUUGAAUUAUUUGCUCCGAUCA
Long non-coding RNA from Musa acuminata AAA Group (dessert banana), 1249 nucleotides. RefSeq lists it as uncharacterized. NCBI's taxonomy places the organism in Eukaryota, Viridiplantae, Streptophyta, Magnoliopsida, Zingiberales, Musaceae. The transcript is spliced from 2 exons. The record is from RefSeq and is a predicted model, not a curated record.